This is a non-coding RNA of Oleoguttula mirabilis, 142 nucleotides long. Lineage: Eukaryota; Fungi; Ascomycota; Dothideomycetes; Mycosphaerellales; Teratosphaeriaceae. The record is from the annotation of a GenBank genome assembly.
GCCUUUGUGGUGAUGUUGGUAGCACGUCCAACCAUCGAUGGGUAGGGAUGGCCUCACGGCUUCUCUUACAUAGCCCAGCUUGUAUCCUUGAGUUAGCGCUCCUGGUGAUUGGAAGACCUGCGUUCGAACCGCAGCGAGGGCA